GAUGAACGCUGGCGGCGUGCCUAAUACAUGCAAGUCGAGCGAACAGACGAGGAGCUUGCUCCUCUGACGUUAGCGGCGGACGGGUGAGUAACACGUGGAUAACCUACCUAUAAGACUGGGAUAACUUCGGGAAACCGGAGCUAAUACCGGAUAAUAUAUUGAACCGCAUGGUUCAAUAGUGAAAGACGGUUUUGCUGUCACUUAUAGAUGGAUCCGCGCCGCAUUAGCUAGUUGGUAAGGUAACGGCUUACCAAGGCAACGAUGCGUAGCCGACCUGAGAGGGUGAGCGGCCAAACGGGAACUGAGAAACGGCCCAGCCCCCCACGGGAGGCAGGAGUGGGGAAUCUUCCGCAAGGGGCGAAAGCCUGACGGAGAAACGCCGCGGGAGUGAUGAAGGUUUUCGGAUCGUAAAACUCUUUUUUUAGGGAAGAAAAAAUGUUUAAGUAAAUAUGCACGUCUUGACGGUCCCUAAUCAAAAAGCCACGGCUAACUACGU
Molecule: ribosomal RNA, 496 nt
Filed under: uncultured bacterium
Lineage: Bacteria
Description: partial 16S ribosomal RNA
Rfam family: Bacterial small subunit ribosomal RNA
Source: RNAcentral